GAGUUGGCUGGUGAAUCAAGUCUUUUGGAGAAAGCCCGCGGAAAGAUGUGGGCAGUCCCUCGUGCAGCCUUUAUCUAUCAGCUUUAGACGGUAGUGUAGAGGACUACGGUGGCGGUAACGGAUACGGAGAAUUAGGGUUCGAUUCCGGAGAGUGAGCCUGAGAAACGG
Molecule: ribosomal RNA, 168 nt
Filed under: Strombidium rassoulzadegani
Lineage: Eukaryota; Ciliophora; Spirotrichea; Strombidiidae
Description: partial Eukaryotic small subunit ribosomal RNA
Rfam family: Eukaryotic small subunit ribosomal RNA
Source: RNAcentral